RNAcentral lists this ribosomal RNA (503 nucleotides) under uncultured bacterium. RNAcentral describes it as "partial 16S ribosomal RNA". It matches the Rfam family "Bacterial small subunit ribosomal RNA", at positions 30 to 523 of the family's 1533-position model. The record is from RNAcentral.
AUUGAACGCUGGCGGCAGGCUUAACACAUGCAAGUCGAGCGGGGUGAUGGUGCUUGCACUAUCACUUAGCGGCGGACGGGUGAGUAAUGCUUAGGAAUCUGCCUAUUAGUGGGGGACAACAUCUCGAAAGGGAUGCUAAUACCGCAUACGUCCUACGGGAGAAAGCAGGGGAUCACUUGUGACCUUGCGCUAAUAGAUGAGCCUAAGUCGGAUUAGCUAGUUGGUGGGGUAAAGGCCUACCAAGGCGACGAUCUGUAGCGGGUCUGAGAGGAUGAUCCGCAACACUGGGACUGAGAGCGGGCCCAGACUCCUACGGGGGGCAGCAGUGGGGAAUAUUGGACAAUGGGGGGAACCCUGAUCCAGCCAUGCCGCGUGUGUGAAGAAGGCCUUAUGGUUGUAAAGCACUUUAAGCGAGGAGGAGGCUCUUUUGGUUAAUAACCAAGAUGAGUGGACGUUACUCGCAAAAUAAGCACCGGCUAACUCUGUGCCAGCCGCCGCCGUAA